Molecule: ribosomal RNA, 2903 nt
Filed under: Escherichia coli
Lineage: Bacteria; Pseudomonadati; Pseudomonadota; Gammaproteobacteria; Enterobacterales; Enterobacteriaceae
Description: 23S ribosomal RNA
Rfam family: Bacterial large subunit ribosomal RNA
Source: RNAcentral
GGUUAAGCGACUAAGCGUACACGGUGGAUGCCCUGGCAGUCAGAGGCGAUGAAGGACGUGCUAAUCUGCGAUAAGCGUCGGUAAGGUGAUAUGAACCGUUAUAACCGGCGAUUUCCGAAUGGGGAAACCCAGUGUGUUUCGUCACACUAUCAUUAACUGAAUCCAUAGGUUAAUGAGGCGAACCGGGGGAACUGAAACAUCUAAGUACCCCGAGGAAAAGAAAUCAACCGAGAUUCCCCCAGUAGCGGCGAGCGAACGGGGAGGAGCCCAGAGCCUGAAUCAGUGUGUGUGUUAGUGGAAGCGUCUGGAAAGGCGCGCGAUACAGGGUGACAGCCCCGUACACAAAAAUGCACAUGCUGUGAGCUCGAUGAGUAGGGCGGGACACGUGGUAUCCUGUCUGAAUAUGGGGGGACCAUCCUCCAAGGCUAAAUACUCCUGACUGACCGAUAGUGAACCAGUACCGUGAGGGAAAGGCGAAAAGAACCCCGGCGAGGGGAGUGAAAAAGAACCUGAAACCGUGUACGUACAAGCAGUGGGAGCCUCUUUAUGGGGUGACUGCGUACCUUUUGUAUAAUGGGUCAGCGACUUAUAUUCUGUAGCAAGGUUAACCGAAUAGGGGAGCCGAAGGGAAACCGAGUCUUAACUGGGCGUUAAGUUGCAGGGUAUAGACCCGAAACCCGGUGAUCUAGCCAUGGGCAGGUUGAAGGUUGGGUAACACUAACUGGAGGACCGAACCGACUAAUGUUGAAAAAUUAGCGGAUGACUUGUGGCUGGGGGUGAAAGGCCAAUCAAACCGGGAGAUAGCUGGUUCUCCCCGAAAGCUAUUUAGGUAGCGCCUCGUGAACUCAUCUCCGGGGGUAGAGCACUGUUUCGGCAAGGGGGUCAUCCCGACUUACCAACCCGAUGCAAACUGCGAAUACCGGAGAAUGUUAUCACGGGAGACACACGGCGGGUGCUAACGUCCGUCGUGAAGAGGGAAACAACCCAGACCGCCAGCUAAGGUCCCAAAGUCAUGGUUAAGUGGGAAACGAUGUGGGAAGGCCCAGACAGCCAGGAUGUUGGCUUAGAAGCAGCCAUCAUUUAAAGAAAGCGUAAUAGCUCACUGGUCGAGUCGGCCUGCGCGGAAGAUGUAACGGGGCUAAACCAUGCACCGAAGCUGCGGCAGCGACGCUUAUGCGUUGUUGGGUAGGGGAGCGUUCUGUAAGCCUGUGAAGGUGUGCUGUGAGGCAUGCUGGAGGUAUCAGAAGUGCGAAUGCUGACAUAAGUAACGAUAAAGCGGGUGAAAAGCCCGCUCGCCGGAAGACCAAGGGUUCCUGUCCAACGUUAAUCGGGGCAGGGUGAGUCGACCCCUAAGGCGAGGCCGAAAGGCGUAGUCGAUGGGAAACAGGUUAAUAUUCCUGUACUUGGUGUUACUGCGAAGGGGGGACGGAGAAGGCUAUGUUGGCCGGGCGACGGUUGUCCCGGUUUAAGCGUGUAGGCUGGUUUUCCAGGCAAAUCCGGAAAAUCAAGGCUGAGGCGUGAUGACGAGGCACUACGGUGCUGAAGCAACAAAUGCCCUGCUUCCAGGAAAAGCCUCUAAGCAUCAGGUAACAUCAAAUCGUACCCCAAACCGACACAGGUGGUCAGGUAGAGAAUACCAAGGCGCUUGAGAGAACUCGGGUGAAGGAACUAGGCAAAAUGGUGCCGUAACUUCGGGAGAAGGCACGCUGAUAUGUAGGUGAAGCGACUUGCUCGUGGAGCUGAAAUCAGUCGAAGAUACCAGCUGGCUGCAACUGUUUAUUAAAAACACAGCACUGUGCAAACACGAAAGUGGACGUAUACGGUGUGACGCCUGCCCGGUGCCGGAAGGUUAAUUGAUGGGGUCAGCGCAAGCGAAGCUCUUGAUCGAAGCCCCGGUAAACGGCGGCCGUAACUAUAACGGUCCUAAGGUAGCGAAAUUCCUUGUCGGGUAAGUUCCGACCUGCACGAAUGGCGUAAUGAUGGCCAGGCUGUCUCCACCCGAGACUCAGUGAAAUUGAACUCGCUGUGAAGAUGCAGUGUACCCGCGGCAAGACGGAAAGACCCCGUGAACCUUUACUAUAGCUUGACACUGAACAUUGAGCCUUGAUGUGUAGGAUAGGUGGGAGGCUUUGAAGUGUGGACGCCAGUCUGCAUGGAGCCGACCUUGAAAUACCACCCUUUAAUGUUUGAUGUUCUAACGUUGACCCGUAAUCCGGGUUGCGGACAGUGUCUGGUGGGUAGUUUGACUGGGGCGGUCUCCUCCUAAAGAGUAACGGAGGAGCACGAAGGUUGGCUAAUCCUGGUCGGACAUCAGGAGGUUAGUGCAAUGGCAUAAGCCAGCUUGACUGCGAGCGUGACGGCGCGAGCAGGUGCGAAAGCAGGUCAUAGUGAUCCGGUGGUUCUGAAUGGAAGGGCCAUCGCUCAACGGAUAAAAGGUACUCCGGGGAUAACAGGCUGAUACCGCCCAAGAGUUCAUAUCGACGGCGGUGUUUGGCACCUCGAUGUCGGCUCAUCACAUCCUGGGGCUGAAGUAGGUCCCAAGGGUAUGGCUGUUCGCCAUUUAAAGUGGUACGCGAGCUGGGUUUAGAACGUCGUGAGACAGUUCGGUCCCUAUCUGCCGUGGGCGCUGGAGAACUGAGGGGGGCUGCUCCUAGUACGAGAGGACCGGAGUGGACGCAUCACUGGUGUUCGGGUUGUCAUGCCAAUGGCACUGCCCGGUAGCUAAAUGCGGAAGAGAUAAGUGCUGAAAGCAUCUAAGCACGAAACUUGCCCCGAGAUGAGUUCUCCCUGACUCCUUGAGAGUCCUGAAGGAACGUUGAAGACGACGACGUUGAUAGGCCGGGUGUGUAAGCGCAGCGAUGCGUUGAGCUAACCGGUACUAAUGAACCGUGAGGCUUAACCUU